RNAcentral lists this ribosomal RNA (438 nucleotides) under uncultured bacterium. RNAcentral describes it as "bacterial SSU rRNA". It matches the Rfam family "Bacterial small subunit ribosomal RNA", at positions 30 to 507 of the family's 1533-position model. The record is from RNAcentral.
AUUGAACGCUGGCGGCAUGGCUAAUGCAUGCAAGUCGAACGAAAGCCCUUCGGGGCGAAAGUGGCGAAAAGGGCGAGUAAUACGAUCGAACGUACCCCAAGGUGGAGGAUAGUGUCGGGAAACUGACGGUAAUACUCCAUGUGCUCUUCGGAGGAAAGCUUUGGCGCCUCGGGAGCGGCGAUCGUCCUAUCAGGUAGUUGGUGAGGUAAUGGCUCACCAAGCCGAAGACGGGUAGCGGGUGUGAGAGCAUGACCCGCCGCAUCGGGACUGAGACACUGCCCGGACUCCUACGGGAGGCUGCAGCGACGAAUCUUCCGCAAUGGGCGCAAGCCUGACGGAGCAAUGCCGCGUGUGGGACGAAGCGUCUUCGACGUGUAAACCACUGUCAGAAUCUAGGAACACUGACCAGAUUCAAAGGAAGGGCCGGCUAACCUCGUG